Molecule: ribosomal RNA, 223 nt
Filed under: uncultured bacterium
Lineage: Bacteria
Description: partial 16S ribosomal RNA
Rfam family: Bacterial small subunit ribosomal RNA
Source: RNAcentral
UACGUAGGGUGCGAGCGUUGUCCGGAAUUAUUGGGCGUAAAGAGCUCGUAGGCGGUUUGUCGCGUCUGCUGUGAAAACCUAAGGCUCAACCUUGGGCUUGCAGUGGGUACGGGCAGACUAGAGUGCGGUAGGGGUGACUGGAAUUCCUGGUGUAGCGGUGGAAUGCGCAGAUAUCAGGAGGAACACCGAUGGCGAAGGCAGGUCACUGGGCCGCAACUGACGC